Molecule: long non-coding RNA, 447 nt
Organism: Juglans regia (Persian walnut)
Lineage: Eukaryota; Viridiplantae; Streptophyta; Magnoliopsida; Fagales; Juglandaceae
Exons: 3
Source: RefSeq, a predicted model, not a curated record
AUCAUGAGUGUAUCAAAAUUCUUCUUGGGAAUAAAGUCGAUAGGGAGAAUGAGAGGGCUGUAACGAGAGAAGAGGGGUUGGCUCUUGCUCAGGGACAUAAAUGUUUGUUUCUUGAAUGUAGUGCUAAAACUAAAGAGAAUGUCCACCAAUGCUUUAAAGAUCUUACAUUAAAGAUACUUGAGGUUCCGAAUUUUUUGGAAAAUGGAUCCACAGUAGUGAAGAAACAGAUUUUAGAACAGAAGCAGGUAGACCCAACUCCUCGUAGUGGUGGAUGCUCCUCCUGAUGUAAAUGAUGCAGGUACUAUACCACAACUAGAACUCGCCACAACAAAACCGAAGACCUCAAGAAGUGGUUGAAAUGGCAAUUGGACAACCUGCAUAAUCUCAGACACAUUCACCAUCAGAUGAACAAGCUUUUUUCCAAGCCAUUUUCUCAAAUAUAUAGUA